GUGGUGGCGCGGGGGUUUUACCGUUUCCUCCGCUUAAGUCCGGCCGAAGCAGAACGGUGUCAGGCAGGACUACACCAC
RNAcentral lists this non-coding RNA (78 nucleotides) under unclassified sequences. RNAcentral describes it as "CyVA-1 RNA". It matches the Rfam family "CyVA-1 RNA". From Rfam's summary of the family: Cyanobacteria, Acidobacteria (1 example), Verrucomicrobia (1 example). Big IGRs The record is from Rfam by way of RNAcentral.